RNAcentral lists this long non-coding RNA (480 nucleotides) under Androctonus crassicauda. The record is from RNAcentral. Lineage: Eukaryota; Metazoa; Arthropoda; Arachnida; Scorpiones; Buthidae.
CAUCCAGGAUGCAUUCACCAAAAAAACUUAAAUACAUAGAACUUUCACAAAAAAUUAAGCAUCUUUGGGGAAUGCAAAAGGUAGUCACUGUACCCAUCAUUCUGUCCUCAACAGGAGUAAUUCCUCACACUCUAUACAAAAACCUCAAAACACUAGAUGUACACCCCAAGACACACAUAACACCUCAAAAGGUAUCGCUACUCAAUACAUGCAACAUGGUAAAAAAGUUUUUCAGCACUGACACAGACAAUUAGUUAACACAACUAAACAUCACAAGUAGCUACAUCUUGAUUCUUGUCUUACAUAGCACUUUGCUCUGGAGUUAUUCCAUGCUCACAUAUGAUAAACAACAUAAUUACAAUAACUGCUUAUCAUCACUGCAGGUGCGAAACAUGGAUUUUCUCUGUUGACUUAAAUUCCAACAUAAAAUUAAAAUAAGAUUGUGCAUACAGUAUUCAACAAGGAACAAACAAGUUUGGG